RNAcentral lists this ribosomal RNA (280 nucleotides) under uncultured bacterium. RNAcentral's name for it is "partial 16S ribosomal RNA". It matches the Rfam family "Bacterial small subunit ribosomal RNA", at positions 510 to 789 of the family's 1533-position model. The record is from RNAcentral.
AGCAGCCGCGGUAAUACGGAGGGUGCAAGCGUUAAUCGGAAUUACUGGGCGUAAAGCGCACGCAGGCGGUCUGUCAAGUCGGAUGGGAAAUCCCCGGGCUCAACCUGGGAACUGCAUUCGAAACUGGCAGGCUAGAGUCUUGUAGAGGGGGGUAGAAUUCCAGGUGUAGCGGUGAAAUGCGUAGAGAUCUGGAGGAAUACCGGUGGCGAAGGCGGCCCCCUGGACAAAGACUGACGCUCAGGUGCGAAAGCGUGGGGAGCAAACAGGAUUAGAUACCCUG